AGCAGCGUGGCUUAGUGGAAAGAGCAAGGGCUUGGAAGUCAGAAGUCAUGGGUUCUAAUCCCACCUCUGCCA
Non-coding RNA from Ornithorhynchus anatinus (platypus), 72 nucleotides. NCBI's taxonomy places the organism in Eukaryota, Metazoa, Chordata, Mammalia, Monotremata, Ornithorhynchidae. The record is from Rfam.